This 857-nucleotide ribosomal RNA is filed under the name uncultured Bacillota bacterium. RNAcentral describes it as "bacterial SSU rRNA". It matches the Rfam family "Bacterial small subunit ribosomal RNA", at positions 67 to 916 of the family's 1533-position model. The record is from RNAcentral. Lineage: Bacteria; Bacillati; Bacillota.
GGGCAGCGGGAUUGAAGCUUGCUUCAAUUGCCGGCGACCGGCGCACGGGUGAGUAACGCGUAUCCAACCUUCCGUACACUCAGGGAUAGCCUUUCGAAAGAAAGAUUAAUACCUGAUGGUAUGAUGAGAUUGCAUGAUAGCAUCAUUAAAGAUUUAUCGGUGUACGAUGGGGAUGCGUUCCAUUAGGUAGUAGGCGGGGUAACGGCCCACCUAGCCAACGAUGGAUAGGGGUUCUGAGAGGAAGGUCCCCCACAUUGGAACUGAGACACGGUCCAAACUCCUACGGGAGGCAGCAGUGAGGAAUAUUGGUCAAUGGACGAGAGUCUGAACCAGCCAAGUAGCGUGAAGGAUGAAGGUCCUACGGAUUGUAAACUUCUUUUAUAAGGGAAUAAACCCUCCCACGUGUGGGAGCUUGUAUGUACCUUAUGAAUAAGCAUCGGCUAACUCCGUGCCAGCAGCCGCGGUAAUACGGAGGAUGCGAGCGUUAUCCGGAUUUAUUGGGUUUAAAGGGAGCGCAGACGGGUCGUUAAGUCAGCUGUGAAAGUUUGGGGCUCAACCUUAAAAUUGCAGUUGAUACUGGCGUCCUUGAGUGCGGUUGAGGUGUGCGGAAUUCGUGGUGUAGCGGUGAAAUGCUUAGAUAUCACGAAGAACUCCGAUUGCGAAGGCAGCACACUAAUCCGUAACUGACGUUCAUGCUCGAAAGUGUGGGUAUCAAACAGGAUUAGAUACCCUGGUAGUCCACACGGUAAACGAUGGAUACUCGCUGUUGGCGAUAUACUGUCAGCGGCUUAGCGAAAGCGUUAAGUAUCCCACCUGGGGAGUACGCCGGCAACGGUGCAACUCAAAGGAAUUGACGG